UAUUGAAUUUCUCGGCAGCGAGCAUUUCAAAAGUUCAGAGCAACAAAUCCAACAACUGGACCGUCCAUCAGUUCAACAAUUGAGCAAGAAGUUCCCAACUCCCUGAACUACACCCGCAAAGCGCAUUGGCCGCUAAACAACCAAGCCCAGGUGAGUUCAGAAGCCAGCGCACAGGUCAACAACCAACGAUACCACUGCUCCUGGCCUCUGGAUCACCUGACCACAUACUGCUAUAAAUAGUUCCAGCAUCAGGAGCUUCGCAGAAUCACAAGUAACACCAAAGAUCAACACAUUUAUAGUAGCCCCCUGCAACUGCAAGGAGAAAGUUUCCUGAUUCGCUUACCAUGGCUCGUCAUGGACCUCUUCUCGUUCUGCUGCUAGCCUUGACAGCCCUCAAUAACAGCUUCGCAGCUCGCCAUCUUUUGGACACAGAAGCUGCGCCAGAGGCCGCACCAGCUCAGCCAUCCACACCAGCAGUUCCAACCACACUGCCCCCAGUGCCUUCCAUACCAGCAGUUCCAACCACACUGCCUCCAGUUCCUUCCAUUCCGCUACCAGCGAUGCCAAAGAUGGCAAUCCCACCAAUUCCAUCCAUUCCCAUUCCAAAGGUCACCCUGCCACCAGCAGCCGC
Molecule: long non-coding RNA, 631 nt
Filed under: Setaria italica (foxtail millet)
Lineage: Eukaryota; Viridiplantae; Streptophyta; Magnoliopsida; Poales; Poaceae
Description: long non-coding RNA (SITA_LNC004758)
Source: RNAcentral